Molecule: ribosomal RNA, 497 nt
Filed under: uncultured bacterium
Lineage: Bacteria
Description: partial 16S ribosomal RNA
Rfam family: Bacterial small subunit ribosomal RNA
Source: RNAcentral
GACGAACGCUGGCGGCGUGCUUAAUACAUGCAAGUCGAGCGGAAAGAUGCUGAGCUUGCCCCGCUGACGUAAGGGGCGGACGGGAGGGUAGCACGUGGCUAACCUCCCUGUAAUACUGGGGUAACUCCGGGACAACUGCGCUAAUACCGGAUGAUCUAUUGAACGGGAUGGUGCAAUCGUUAACGGCGGUGUUUGGGUCCGUUAUCGAUGAGCCCGCGCCGGAUUAGCUAGUUGAUAAGGUCAAGGAUUACCAAGGCAACGAUGCGUAGAAGACCUGAAAGACGGAUAGGCCACCCGGGAGCUGGGCCACGCACCAUACGCCUACGGGAGGCACCAGUAGCGAAUCGUCCGCAAUGGGCGAAAGCCUUACGCAGCAACGGCGCGCCAGUUAUGAAGGUCUCCGGAUCGUAAAGCUCGCCUAUGAGGUAAGAACAAAUGUGUAAGGAACCAAGCAGGUCGUGACGGUACCUAAACAGAAAGCCCCGGCUAACUACGUG